GAUGAACGCUGGCGGCGUGCUUAACACAUGCAAGUCGAACGGUGAAGCCAAGCUUGCUUGGUGGAUCAGUGGCGAACGGGUGAGUAACACGUGGGCAACCUGCCCUGGACUCUGGGAUAAGCGCUGGAAACGGCGUCUAAUACUGGAUAUGAGACGUGAUCGCAUGGUCAACGUUUGGAAAGAUUUUUCGGUCUGGGAUGGGCUCGCGGCCUAUCAGCUUGUUGGUGAGGUAAUGGCUCACCAAGGCGUCGACGGGUAGCCGGCCUGAGAGGGUGACCGGCCACACUGGGACUGAGACACGGCCCAGACUCCUACGGGAGGCAGCAGUGGGGAAUAUUGCACAAUGGGCGGAAGCCUGAUGCAGCAACGCCGCGUGAGGGAUGACGGCCUUCGGGUUGUAAACCUCUUUUAGCAGGGAAGAAGCGAAAGUGACGGUACCUGCAGAAAAAGCGCCGGCUAACUACGUGCCAGCAGCCGCGGUAAUACGUAGGGCGCAAGCGUUAUCCGGAAUUAUUGGGCGUAAAGAGCUCGUAGGCGGUUUGUCGCGUCUGCUGUGAAAUCCCGAGGCUCAACCUCGGGCCUGCAGUGGGUACGGGCAGACUAGAGUGCGGUAGGGGAGAUUGGAAUUCCUGGUGUAGCGGUGGAAUGCGCAGAUAUCAGGAGGAACACCGAUGGCGAAGGCAGAUCUCUGGGCCGUAACUGACGCUGAGGAGCGAAAGGGUGGGGAGCAAACAGGCUUAGAUACCCUGGUAGUCCACCCCGUAAACGUUGGGAACUAGUUGUGGGGACCAUUCCACGGUUUCCGUGACGCAGCUAACGCAUUAAGUUCCCCGCCUGGGGAGUACGGCCGCAAGGCUAAAACUCAAAGGAAUUGACGGGGACCCGCACAAGCGGCGGAGCAUGCGGAUUAAUUCGAUGCAACGCGAAGAACCUUACCAAGGCUUGACAUACACCAGAACGGGCCAGAAAUGGUCAACUCUUUGGACACUGGUGAACAGGUGGUGCAUGGUUGUCGUCAGCUCGUGUCGUGAGAUGUUGGGUUAAGUCCCGCAACGAGCGCAACCCUCGUUCUAUGUUGCCAGCACGUAAUGGUGGGAACU
RNAcentral lists this ribosomal RNA (1100 nucleotides) under uncultured bacterium. RNAcentral's name for it is "bacterial SSU rRNA". It matches the Rfam family "Bacterial small subunit ribosomal RNA", at positions 28 to 1139 of the family's 1533-position model. The record is from RNAcentral.